UAAUUAUGAAAUACAUAUGAUACUAUAAGCAGACAAUUAUUGCAAGAUGAACUUCAUAGUGUGUUUUUUCAUCAUUUUUCUCUUAGGUAAUUGUUUUGCGAACAAAAAUGGGAGAAGGAUGUUUGAUGUUCCAGAGGGUUGUGGUGAAGGAAGUGCCUCUAUCGGUAAUGAAUGUGUUUCGUUCUUCAGGGCAUCUAUAUCAUCGAAUGCUACAACUCAAAGGGCAAUAAGUUCCACAACAGCGAAAAACUUUCCAACCAUAAUGAGAAAACUAAAACCCUCGAAUCAUUAGUGAUAUAAUUGAGAGAGUUAAAACUCUCUAAAAUAUAGGAUAAACUAGUAAUUGUAACUACAACUGUAAUGUCUGUCUUUAUGUGGUAGUUUUAAGAAAUAUUUAUAAAUAAACUAGAUCAUAAUAUUAUUGAAAUGGUGUUUCAUUUACCUUAAGACACUUUAUUUGUUACUAAGUAAAUUUAUUUUGAUCAAAUAAAUAUGUAAACUGUGUUUUAUAUGUUUAGUCGACAUUAUUAUAGAAAUAAUUAAGUUUAUCUUUAUGUUGAUUCAGAACCGGUUUAUAAAGAACAUUUUAACCGUGGAAUCAAUAUCCAGUUGAAUUAAAAUUUAGCAGCAAAGGUUAUCGGAAGGAUGUGGUCAACAUUCUGGUUGGUGUUGGUGAUCUUUGCAACUAUCAAUGGGGCACCUCAAGUUCUUACUUAUGAAGAGUACCAUUCGCCUAAUAAUUUACCUGUACAUGGAGCCUCAAUCGUUCAUUCAAAGAAUUGCAUGAAGGGGCAUGUUUAUGUCAAUGGAGGGUGUAGAUUAACAUUCAAACUUAGAGGUAAAUAAGCCCACUACGAAAAUGGCAUAAGCAACUGUUUUAAUUUUUUUAAAUGUAAUUUAAUAAUAAAUUAAUAAACAAUUUAAUAUA
Aethina tumida (small hive beetle) is the source of this 928-nucleotide long non-coding RNA. RefSeq lists it as uncharacterized. NCBI's taxonomy places the organism in Eukaryota, Metazoa, Arthropoda, Insecta, Coleoptera, Nitidulidae. The record is from RefSeq and is a predicted model, not a curated record. The transcript has 3 exons.